UGUUCUGUAGCUUAGUUGGUUAAAGCGCCGGUCUAGCGUACACGGAGUCGUGAGUUUGAGUCUCACUAGAACGC
Aedes aegypti (yellow fever mosquito) is the source of this 74-nucleotide non-coding RNA. The record is from Rfam. NCBI's taxonomy places the organism in Eukaryota, Metazoa, Arthropoda, Insecta, Diptera, Culicidae.